GAGUACGAAAAUGAAAUAAACUUCCCAAUUCUGCACAACCCAGUCCAGUGCGUGUCUCCUCCGGCCUCAAAACCUCUCUCCGCCGUUGAAAACUCACCUCCGCCAUGGAUAUCCUACACUCAGCCACUCAAUUCCCCACAAUACCCUUCCUCCACCCUCACCGUCCAUCCGCAUCCGUUCGCCACCUCCGUCGAUGCCUCGGCUUCACUGUCAGGUCGAGCCUACCGUUUUCUGAUCAAAAUGCAAAGUACCACAGAGAGCUCCGAGCAGCCGUGGAUGCUGUCGAGCGAGCUUGUCGUCUCUGUGUCGACGUGAAGCAGUCUUUGUUCUCCAGUGAUGGAAGGAUUCUCGAAAAGAAUGACCAAACUCCAGUCACUGUGGCAGAUUUUGGGGUUCAGGCUCUCAUCAGUUUGGAGGUGGGCAAAUUUUUUCCUUCUAUUCCAAUGGUGGCUGAAGAGGAUUCAGCAUUCUUGCGUUCAAGCAAUCUGGUAAAUUCUGUUGUAGAUGAGGUUACUGAUAAGGCAAGUUUCGGGGAUAAACAAUUGAUGGAAGCUGAUGUGUUGGAAGCCAUUGAUAGAGGGGGAAAGGAUGCCUUUUCAUUCGGACGUAAGCCUGCCACUUAUUGGGUUCUUGAUCCAAUUGAUGGCACACGAGGGUUUGUCAGAGGGAGGGAUGCCUUGUAUGUGGUCGGUUUGGCCCUUGUAGUUGAAGGAGAGGUGGUAUUAGGAGUUAUGGGAUGUCCUAAUUGGCAGAAAGAUAAACCCAGCAACUCUGUGACAGAAACCCUAAACUCUCCAAAAACUUUGUCAGGAAUCAUUAUGGUUGGGCAUGUUGGCUGUGGAACAUGGACAAAACAGUUAUCUUUCAUGCUGAGUAGCACCACCGAGAUUUCUAACAGUUGGACCAGAUGCUCUGUUGAUAGGUGUUGGUUGGUUCAUGAGGCACGCUUUUGUAGUUCAGAUAGUCAAACAUGGGAGUCAUUGCCGUUAUCCACUUUCUUUGAUGCAACUACCGAUGCUGAGAAUAUUAAUGAUAAACAGAUUCUCCUUCUGUCUGCAUGUUGUGGAAGUUUGUGCAAGUACUUGAUGGUGGCCUCUGGCUGGGCAUCUGUUUUCAUUCUUCGAGCGCGGGCUCAAACAAUUAUAAAGGUAUGGGAUCAUGCUGCUGGGAUGAUAUGUGUUCAUGAAGCAGGUGGAAAGGUGACUGACUGGAGAGGGAAUGAACUUGAUCUCUCAGUAGAUCAAGUGGAGCGGAGGUUCAUAUGUCCUACCGGUGGCGUGCUUGUGACAAACAGCAGCUUACAUACCAAUCUACUAGAGUUGAUCUCAUCUGGUUAAUUGGUGCAUCGGUAUAUUGUACUUUCAGUUUUUGAAUUGCCCUUGGGCAUUAAGCCAACGGAUCAAAAACGAAACCCAACUGCUGCAUCUUCGCCAUCUUCAAGGCACGUGUCCAACGCAUACACUUAGAGGAUCUUAGUUUAUUGGAAAGUUCUCGACUCCCAAAACAAACCAGUGUAUACCGGGGAUGACGGUGUAGGUGAGUUGUUGCUGGCAAAUCGUUCGAUUGUAUCUGUCGAGAAAAUUAUUUAUGAAGAAAUUGGGUUGAUUGAAGAGUUAUAAUUAUAUGGUAAAGUAAGACGGAUGAAGCCAAACGUAUGAUCUUAAGUAAUAGACCAUCAAACGUACACCCGAAAUUGUAUCACUCUUUCUUGUCUUGUAAGAUGAAUGGUUCUGAUUACCGAGAUGAAUUCAUUGUAGUCCCACAAGCCACGACAAAUCAACUAUAUAGACCAUACAAUCCCGGUACUUUAAUUAGUUGUGUUUCAACUCAAAGCUUCAAGGGUAAAAUUGAAAGUUUGCCCUUUCGUGCAUGGUUGCCAAUUUUGAAAAGAAA
This is an RNA transcript of Rhododendron vialii, 1893 nucleotides long. It is a transcript of the gene named putative PAP-specific phosphatase, mitochondrial, with no coding region annotated. The record is from RefSeq and is a predicted model, not a curated record. The transcript is spliced from 11 exons. NCBI's taxonomy places the organism in Eukaryota, Viridiplantae, Streptophyta, Magnoliopsida, Ericales, Ericaceae.